RNAcentral lists this ribosomal RNA (252 nucleotides) under uncultured bacterium. RNAcentral's name for it is "partial 16S ribosomal RNA". It matches the Rfam family "Bacterial small subunit ribosomal RNA", at positions 524 to 776 of the family's 1533-position model. The record is from RNAcentral.
UACGUAGGGAGCGAGCGUUGUCCGGAAUUACUGGGUGUAAAGGGAGCGUAGGCGGGACUGCAAGUUGGGUGCCAAAUCUACCGGCUCAACCGGUAGCCGCACUCAAAACUGCAGUUCUUGAGUGAAGUAGAGGCAGGCGGAAUUCCUAGUGUAGCGGUGAAAUGCGUAGAUAUUAGGAGGAACACCAGUGGCGAAGGCGGCCUGCUGGGCUUUUACUGACGCUGAGGCUCGAAAGUGUGGGGAGCAAACAGG